This is a long non-coding RNA of Pseudophryne corroboree (corroboree frog), 1131 nucleotides long. RefSeq lists it as uncharacterized. NCBI's taxonomy places the organism in Eukaryota, Metazoa, Chordata, Amphibia, Anura, Myobatrachidae. The record is from RefSeq and is a predicted model, not a curated record. The transcript is spliced from 3 exons.
CAUUCAUUUUCUAUCACCCUGAAACAGCAGCGGCGUUGGAAGGAUCCUAUCACGUCCCCACCUCAUGGCUGCAGCAGUUACUACCACAAGGGAAAGAGAGGUACUUAUGAUAUUCUCUUCACAUCGAUCAUUAAUCUGAGUUAAAAUUUACAUAACAUAGAUGAAGAAGGGAUAGAACAUCUGUUCCAAUUUAUACUGGACUGUUGGGAAAAAUUCCCCCUCCUAUUACUGGGCCAUACUGAACAUCUGCAGGGACACUCCCAGGUGCCCUCUUAAGGGCAAAGGGGAAAUUUCAAAGGGGAGUUCUCCCACAAUACUACAAUUGCAGCUACAGCCACUGAGAGCAAUGCUUGCCCGCCACUCAGAGCAUCAUCUGUAAACAAAAGGUAGAAAAUCAAGAAAGAACACCACAAACAGCAAGGCGGACCUUCACCGAGAGAACCACCAUCAUGAUGAGCAGUAAAUGAGGGUGGUAAGAAACUCCAUCAGGAAAGAAGUAGAGCCCUCCACUCUCCAGGAAAUACUUACAUACAUGCAAACAGGAGAAUACCUGCUACUCAGAGUUGCCUACUACCCCGGAAUAUCCGUCAGACUCUUUCCUGCAUCCCUGUGUGGGCGUGGACCAGCCUCAUGGAUCCUCCCCACUUCCCCCCUGAAGUGGACAGUCUGAGGAUUUGUGACAAAAGACAUCACCAUGAAUUGAAACAUUGUACUGCGUGUCAUUGGGCCUCAGUGAUACAGUUGACUGUGCCACACCCCAACACCACCCAACUGGAGCUCCUCCUUCAGUCUUUCCCAGAGGCCACAAUCAAGAAGUUUCUAGGUAUGCUCAUAAGAGGGAUAGUACUAUAAUGUCAUAUUUUCUGUCCAAUAUUUUUAGUCCUGAUAAGGCCAAAGCAUGUUACAUACAUGUACAUUUUUCUGAAACAUUGUAUUUAAGGUAUUUUAGGUCCAGUGGUCAUAUUAUUGAAUCUGUUUUCCUCACAGUCAUCUAUCUAUUAAAAGGGCAAAAUGUCUUAUCUCAAGUAGAAGUCAUCCCACUGGUGGUAAUAGUCACCAGAUCUCAAUGGUAAUAACAUCCCUUCGCAAAGCAUAAGUAAGCCUAUUUAACAAGGAUUGUAGCUCCAUUAU